CCUACGGGGGGCUGCAGUGAGGAAUAUUGGUCAAUGGACGAGAGUCUGAACCAGCCAAGUAGCGUGAAGGAUGACUGCCCUAUGGGUUGUAAACUUCUUUUAUAUGGGAAUAAAAUGUUCCACGUGUGGGAUUUUGUAUGUACCAUAUGAAUAAGGAUCGACUAACUCCGUGCCAGCAGCCGCGGUAAUACGGAGGAUCCGAGCGUUAUCCGGAUUUAUUGGGUUUAAAGGGAGCGUAGGUGGAUUGUUAAGUGAGUUGUGAAAGUUUGCGGCUCAACCGUAAAAUUGCAGUUGAAACUGGCAGUCUUGAGUACAGUAGAGGUGGGCGGAAUUCGUGGUGUAGCGGUGAAAUGCUUAGAUAUCACGAAGAACUCCGAUUGCGAAGGCAGUUCACUGGACUGCAACUGACACUGAGGCUCGAAAGUGUGGGUAUCAAACAGGAUUAGAUACCCGUGUAGUC
RNAcentral lists this ribosomal RNA (460 nucleotides) under uncultured bacterium. RNAcentral's name for it is "partial 16S ribosomal RNA". It matches the Rfam family "Bacterial small subunit ribosomal RNA", at positions 338 to 795 of the family's 1533-position model. The record is from RNAcentral.